AGCAUUUUAGUUUGCUUGCAAACUGAAGAUGGCGACCGGCGCACGGGUGAGUAACACGUAUCCAACCUGCCGAUAACUCCGGGAUAGCCUUUCGAAAGAAAGAUUAAUACCGGAUGGCAUACUAAUAUCGCAUGAUAUUUUUAUUAAAGAAUUUCGGUUAUCGAUGGGGAUGCGUUCCAUUAGUUUGUUGGCGGGGUAACGGCCCACCAAGACUACGAUGGAUAGGGGUUCUGAGAGGAAGGUCCCCCACAUUGGAACUGAGACACGGUCCAAACUCCUACGGGAGGCAGCAGUGAGGAAUAUUGGUCAAUGGACGAGAGUCUGAACCAGCCAAGUAGCGUGAAGGAUGACUGCCCUAUGGGUUGUAAACUUCUUUUAUAUGGGAAUAAAGUAUUCCACGUGUGGAAUUUUGUAUGUACCAUAUGAAUAAGGAUCGGCUAACUCCGUGCCAGCAGCCGCGGUAAUACGGAGGAUCCGAGCGUUAUCCGGAUUUAUUGGGUUUAAAGGGAGCGUAGGUGGAUUGUUAAGUCAGUUGUGAAAGUUUGCGGCUCAACCGUAAAAUUGCAGUUGAAACUGGCAGUCUUGAGUACAGUAGAGGUGGGCGGAAUUCGUGGUGUAGCGGUGAAAUGCUUAGAUAUCACGAAGAACUCCGAUUGCGAAGGCAGCUCACUAGACUGCACUGACACUGAUGCUCGAAAGUGUGGGUAUCAAACAGGAUUAGAUACCCUGGUAGUCCACACAGUAAACGAUGAAUACUCGCUGUUUGCGAUAUACAGUAAGCGGCCAAGCGAAAGCAUUAAGUAUUCCACCUGGGGAGUACGCCGGCAACGGUGAAACUCAAAGGAAUUGACGGGGGCCCGCACAAGCGGAGGAACAUGUGGUUUAAUUCGAUGAUACGCGAGGAACCUUACCCGGGCUUAAAUUGCAUUUGAAUAAUCUGGAAACAGGUUAGCCGCAAGGCAAAUGUGAAGGUGCUGCAUGGUUGUCGUCAGCUCGUGCCGUGAGGUGUCGGCUUAAGUGCCAUAACGAGCGCAACCCUUAUCUUUAGUUACUAACAGGUCAUGCUGAGGACUCUAGAGAGACUGCCGUCGUAAGAUGUGAGGAAGGUGGGGAUGACGUCAAAUCAGCACGGCCCUUACGUCCGGGGCUACACACGUGUUACAAUGGGGGGUACAGAAGGCAGCUACCUGGUGACAGGAUGCUAAUCCCAAAAACCUCUCUCAGUUCGGAUCGAAGUCUGCAACCCGACUUCGUGAAGCUGGAUUCGCUAGUAAUCGCGCAUCAGCCAUGGCGCGGUGAAUACGUUCCCGGGCCUUGUACACACCGCCCGUCAAGCCAUGAAAGCCGGGGGUACCUGAAGUACGUAACCGCAA
This 1373-nucleotide ribosomal RNA is filed under the name Bacteroides sp. RNAcentral's name for it is "bacterial SSU rRNA". It matches the Rfam family "Bacterial small subunit ribosomal RNA". Lineage: Bacteria; Pseudomonadati; Bacteroidota; Bacteroidia; Bacteroidales; Bacteroidaceae. The record is from RNAcentral. RNAcentral also lists the same sequence under 2 other names.